UUUGUGUUCCCUGCUUGAGUCUGAGCAGUGCAAUGCUCUGCUGAGCAAUGAGUUUGUAAGUCAUCUCUGAUAGCCUCUGUCCUGGCUCUGGGUGCAUCCCCUCAGGUGAGAGGCUGUGGGCUUUUAUUUCUCCAGGGGUGGAAUACUGCAAUUCUCCCUUCCUCAGCCUGGGCCCUGGGCCCCUGCACUUUCUGUAUCCUCCCUAUUUACCCAGCAGGUCCUACUCUGUCCAGACCACGUGUGGAUCUUCCCUGUGGGAGUCUGUGAGCAGGGGCGAGUGCAGCGACCAGGCAGCCUUCUGAAACUAAAGGCUGCUUGUCCUCUCCGCAGCAACCCAGCUGCUGCGUCUCGCUCUUGCCUGGCCUCAUUUGAGCCCUGUGGGGAUGGGGAGUCACCUGACGCCGCCUCUGAAGUGACACUCUCUUCAUUCACCUCGGUCUGGGUGAGCAGUCCCUGAUCUGACACAGCCAGGAGCAUCACUGUACUGGGAGAAGCAUCAGACUGGAGCAGGGAGGCCAAGCCGCAGGGUGUUGGCUCUGCUGGAGGCUGUGACUCCACUGAUAAGGCCUGUGUAACAAGCACCCGAGAUCAGGGAUGGAGCCUCUGAAGCAGAUGGAGGGAGUUACGGAACUGCUCUCCCUCAGACUAUCAGUAAGGACACUCCUUUUCCGAAGGAUGAUGUUUAGCACAUUCUGGGAGAGGGUUGAGCUCUCCUGAAAGAUACCGGUUUAGAACAGGACACCACCUUCUGUUGUGUAACCAGAUGCUGGGGGAAGGACUGCAAACUGGCUGCCUGGGAGAUGGUCUCGAGCCUUUGGGAAGGUAGAACUUCACGUCUACGCACUUUGUUUGGCGUUGAACAGUGGUAUGUUCUGCGCACUCUUUUUAAAGGAGGAAGUCUUGUGGGCUUUCUCAUCUGGAGUGAUGCCACUUGUCCUUGGCCUCUGAGCUCUAAUACAAAGGGUUUCUCAUAACUUACUGAGUGACGGUGAUUUUUGUGGCAGCCUCUUGUUACAACAAUGGUGGCAAAUCACAGGCAUCUUAUUCCUACUGAGAUGAGUGGCCUUGGGGUGCUGCUGUUGCUAUGGGCUUCGAAACCCACACUUGGGGAGAGACUCCAAAGUCUGCGGGGUUGGCAUCCCUGCUGAUAGUCCCCAGACAAUUAUGGCCGUAGUAAUAGAAUGAACAAGCUUUCCCACAUGGCUUUGCCAUAGCCUCUUCCUUCUAACUUGCAGCGAGAUCAGAUUUCUGCUAUUCCAGACUGGGGCUUCUCUAAGCAGCCAGGUGCUUGGCUUUGUGACAUGGCCGAACGUUCACUUGUAAGUAGCUCGGAAGGACCAAUUUCAUUUGCAAACUAAAACAGGUGAACUUCUAUUGCUGCCCCCACUGAAGUUGCUGUGAUGCUCUUGUUUCCCUGAAAUCAAGGGAUGGUAACAUGUACCUUGUACAAUCCAUGCCCCAGCAGACGCACUUGAUAUGUUGGCAGCGAUGGAACUAAACUCCAGUUCGCAAAUGUGUUAAACUGGUUUAUUAACCAACUGCCCCGGCAGUCACUCUGUGUCAUGCUGUUUCCAUUAAAGUGUCAUCGUUUGGGAAAUGAAAUUGCUGUAGCUAGCUGUCCAAAGUGACAACCUCCUUCCUACUGGUAGUAUAAUGUUUCCAUGGAAAAACAAGAACCAAAACGGUAGCUCCCAUCAGUUUGGAGGAAGGCAGAAUCACCGGCCUGCUGCAUGCUACCAAA
This is a long non-coding RNA of Mauremys mutica (yellowpond turtle), 1741 nucleotides long. RefSeq lists it as uncharacterized. Lineage: Eukaryota; Metazoa; Chordata; Testudines; Geoemydidae. The record is from RefSeq and is a predicted model, not a curated record. The transcript has 4 exons.